Molecule: ribosomal RNA, 420 nt
Filed under: uncultured bacterium
Lineage: Bacteria
Description: bacterial SSU rRNA
Rfam family: Bacterial small subunit ribosomal RNA
Source: RNAcentral
UAAGGAAUAUUGCUCAAUGGGAGAAAUCCUGAAGCAGCAACGCCGCGUGGAGGAUGAAGGGUCUAUGACUUGUAAACUCCUGUAAAGAAGGAAAAAAUUCCCAUUAGAUGGGAGAUGAUGGUACUUCUGGAGUAAGCCCCGGCUAACUACGUGCCAGCAGCCGCGGUAAUACGUAGGGGGCAAGCGUUGUCCGGAUUUACUGGGUGUAAAGGGUGCUCAGGCGGAUUUGUAAGUCAGAGGUGAAAUCUUACAGCUUAACUGUGAAACUGCCUUGGAUACUGCAAGCCUAGAGUAUGGAAGAGAGUGAUGGAAUAUCUGGUGUAGCAGUGAAAUGCGUAGAUAUCAGAUAGAACACCAAUGGCGAAGGCAGUCACUUGGUCCAUUACUGACGCUAAAGCACGAAAGCGUGGGUAGCAAACA